This 497-nucleotide ribosomal RNA is filed under the name uncultured bacterium. RNAcentral's name for it is "partial 16S ribosomal RNA". It matches the Rfam family "Bacterial small subunit ribosomal RNA", at positions 28 to 507 of the family's 1533-position model. The record is from RNAcentral.
GAUGAACGCUGGCGGCGUGCCUAAUACAUGCAAGUCGAGCGAACGGACGAGAAGCUUGCUUCUCUGAUGUUAGCGGCGGACGGGUGAGUAACACGUGGAUAACCUACCUAUAAGACUGGGAUAACUUCGGGAAACCGGAGCUAAUACCGGAUAAUAUUUUGAACCGCAUGGUUCAAAAGUGAAAGACGGUCUUGCUGUCACUUAAAGAUGGAUCCGCGCUGCAUUAGCUAGUUGGUAAGGUAACGGCUUACCAAGGCAACGAUGCAUAGCCGACCUGAGAGGGUGAUCGGCCACACUGGAACUGAGACACGGUCCAGACUCCUACGGGAGGCAGCAGUAGGGAAUCUUCCGCAAUGGGCGAAAGCCUGACGGAGCAACGCCGCGUGAGUGAUGAAGGUCUUCGGAUCGUAAAACUCUGUUAUUAGGGAAGAACAUAUGUGUAAGUAACUGUGCACAUCUUGACGGUACCUAAUCAGAAAGCCACGGCUAACUACGUG